This 497-nucleotide ribosomal RNA is filed under the name uncultured bacterium. RNAcentral's name for it is "partial 16S ribosomal RNA". It matches the Rfam family "Bacterial small subunit ribosomal RNA", at positions 28 to 507 of the family's 1533-position model. The record is from RNAcentral.
GAUGAACGCUGGCGGCGUGCCUAAUACAUGCAAGUCGAGCGAACGGACGAGAAGCUUGCUUCUCUGAUGUUAGCGGCGGACGGGUGAGUAACACGUGGAUAACCUACCUAUAAGACUGGGAUAACUUCGGGAAACCGGAGCUAAUACCGGAUAAUAUUUUGAACCGCAUGGUUCAAAAGUGAAAGACGGUCUUGCUGUCACUUAUAGAUGGAUCCGCGCUGCAUUAGCUAGUUGGUAAGGUAACGGCUUACCAAGGCAACGAUGCAUAGCCGACCUGAGAGAGUGACCGGCCACACUGGAACUGAGACACGGUCCAGACUCCUACGGGAGGCAGCAGUAGGGAAUCUUCCGCAAUGGGCGAAAGCCUGACGGAGCAACGCCGCGUGAGUGAUGAAGGUCUUCGGAUCGUAAAACUCUGUUAUUAGUGAAGAACAUAUGUGUAAGUAAAUGUGCACAUCGUGACGGUACCUAAUCAGAAAGCCACGGCUAACUACGUG